UAUUCUGAUCUAUGAUGACAACAUCAUUUACCGAGAAUACAGAUUGAUUACGAGAAGGGCAUGAAAUAUUCGGGUUACGAGUAAUAUGCUGUGUCCAAAAACGAAAAUCGCCGUAUGUCACAAAUGACACAAAUGUUUGUGAAUAAAACACCUUGGAUUUAUUUUAUUUAUACAAUGACUUUGUGUCAAGAAAUUUGAACUGUGAAUGAAACCCAAAAGCGUAAGAAUCGUGGAACACGUUUGACUGGAAUAAAGAAAUUGACACAAGCAUGAACUUUUUAGAUUGGUGACGGUAUAUUGAGUUCAGAAAAUCGACAAACAUACGCAUUUUUUAUUUAUUAAUUUAUAGCAAGCUCUUAGAUUUAGAUUUAGCCAUGCCUUUCGUUUUCUGUAGAAAAACAGCAAACAUCCUCUGUCACAAUACCCACGAUAGAGUCAUUAAACAACUUUAUGUUUUACAUUGUAAUUAUAUUUGCAUCUUGCAUACUAAGGACCAACCCUAUUAUUUCAAAACUGUUUAAGUUUUCAUUUUAUUCUGUACUUAUCGUACUCGUGUUGCAUACCAAUGCAUUUGCUUCAUUUUAUUAGGACAAUAAAACAUUGCUUAGAAAG
This 612-nucleotide long non-coding RNA is filed under the name Mytilus galloprovincialis (Mediterranean mussel). The record is from RNAcentral. Lineage: Eukaryota; Metazoa; Mollusca; Bivalvia; Mytilida; Mytilidae.